This 281-nucleotide unclassified non-coding RNA is filed under the name uncultured fungus. RNAcentral's name for it is "partial contains small subunit ribosomal RNA, internal transcribed spacer 1, and 5.8S ribosomal RNA". The stretch from base 1 to 73 matches the Rfam family "Eukaryotic small subunit ribosomal RNA", at positions 1759 to 1831 of the family's 1831-position model. Lineage: Eukaryota; Fungi. The record is from RNAcentral.
GCAAACUUGGUCAUUUAGAGGAAGUAAAAGUCGUAACAAGGUCUCCGUUGGUGAACCAGCGGAGGGAUCAUUACCGAGUUUAUUCAACUCCCACCCUUUGUUAAUUAUACUCUUGUUGCUUUGGCGAGCCUGCCCUAGGCUACCGGCUGUCUCUGACAGCGGGUUCGUGCUCGCCAGAGGACCAAAACUCUUAUUUUUUUGUAUUGUCUAAUUCAUGAUUUAAUUCAUAUAAAACUUUCAACAACGGAUCUCUUGGUUCUGGCAUCGAUGAAGAACGCAGC